This 496-nucleotide ribosomal RNA is filed under the name uncultured bacterium. Its description in RNAcentral is "partial 16S ribosomal RNA". It matches the Rfam family "Bacterial small subunit ribosomal RNA", at positions 29 to 507 of the family's 1533-position model. The record is from RNAcentral.
AUGAACGCUGGCGGUGUGCCUAAUACAUGCAAGUCGAGCGAACAGACGAGGAGCUUACUCCUCUGACGUUAGCGGCGGACGGGUGAGUAACACGUGGAUAACCUACCUAUAAGACUGGGAUAACUUCGGGAAACCGGAGCUAAUACCGGAUAACAUGUUGAACCGCAUGGUUCAACAGUGAAAGACGGUCUUGCUGUCACUUAUAGAUGGAUCCGCGUCGCAUUAGCUAGUUGGUAAGGUAACGGCUUACCAAGGCAACGAUGCGUAGCCGACCUGAGAGGGUGAUAGGCCACACUGGAACUGAGACACGGUCCAGACUCCUACGGGAGGCAGCAGUAGGGAAUCUGCCGCAAAGGGCGAAAGCCUGACGGAGCAACGCCGCGUGAGUGAAGAAGGUCUUCGGAUCGUAAAACUCUGUUAUUAGGGAAGAACAAAUGUGUAAGUACCUAUGCACGUCUUGACGGUACCUAAUCAGAAAGCCACGGCUAACUACGUG